This 305-nucleotide ribosomal RNA is filed under the name uncultured bacterium. RNAcentral describes it as "bacterial SSU rRNA". It matches the Rfam family "Bacterial small subunit ribosomal RNA", at positions 337 to 660 of the family's 1533-position model. The record is from RNAcentral.
UCCUACGGGACGCAGCAGUGGGGGAUAUUGCACAAUGGGGGAAACCCUGAUGCAGCGACGCCGCGUGGAGGAGGAAGGUCUUCGGAUUGUAAACUCCUGUCCGAGGGGACGAUAAUGACGGUACCCUUGGAGGAAGCACCGGCUAACUACGUGCCAGCAGCCGCGGUAAAACGUAGGGUGCAAGCGUUGUCCGGAAUUACUGGGUGUAAAGGGAGCGUAGGCGGGCGAGAAAGUUGAAUGUUAAAUCUACCGGCUUAACUGGUAGCUGCGUUCAAAACUUCUUGUCUUGAGUGAAGUAGAGGCAG